This 734-nucleotide ribosomal RNA is filed under the name uncultured beta proteobacterium. RNAcentral describes it as "bacterial SSU rRNA". It matches the Rfam family "Bacterial small subunit ribosomal RNA", at positions 55 to 784 of the family's 1533-position model. Lineage: Bacteria; Pseudomonadati; Pseudomonadota; Betaproteobacteria. The record is from RNAcentral.
AUGCAAGUCGAACGGCAGCGCGGACUUCGGUCUGGCGGCGAGUGGCGAACGGGUGAGUAAUGUAUCGGAACGUGCCUAGUAGCGGGGGAUAACUACUCGAAAGAGUAGCUAAUACCGCAUACGCCCUACGGGGGAAAGGGGGGGAUCGCAAGACCUCUCACUAUUAGAGCGGCCGAUAUCGGAUUAGCUAGUUGGUGAGGUAAAGGCUCACCAAGGCGACGAUCCGUAGCUGGUUUGAGAGGACGACCAGCCACACUGGGACUGAGACACGGCCCAGACUCCUACGGGAGGCAGCAGUGGGGAAUUUUGGACAACGGGGGAAACCCUGAUCCAGCCAUUCCGCGUGUGCGAUGAAGGCCUUCGGGUUGUAAAGCACUUUUGGCAGGAAAGAAAUCGCACGGGUUAAUAACCCGUGUGGAUGACGGUACCUGCAGAAUAAGCACCGGCUAACUACGUGCCAGCAGCCGCGGUAAUACGUAGGGUGCAAGCGUUAAUCGGAAUUACUGGGCGUAAAGCGUGCGCAGGCGGUUCGGAAAGAAGGAUGUGAAAUCCCAGGGCUUAACCUUGGAACUGCAUUCUUAACUACCGGGCUAGAGUAUGUCAGAGGGAGGUGGAAUUCCGCGUGUAGCAGUGAAAUGCGUAGAUAUGCGGAGGAACACCGAUGGCGAAGGCAGCCUCCUGGGAUAAUACUGACGCUCAUGCACGAAAGCGUGGGGAGCAAACAGGAUUAGAUA